AAAAUAAUAAUUUAAUAAACUCUAUCACAAUCAUGAUUCAAUAAAAUUGAAAAAAAAAAAUAGCUAAGCAAAAGCAUGAUCAUAAUCUUUUAAGAUAAUAUCUUCCAAGUUAGUUAUGCCAAGUACCUGACAUGAUAUCAUAAACAAAAUCAAUAAGAGUACACCCAAAAUCUAAGAAUUAUAAUCAAUUGAAAUAAUCCCAAAAUUCAAAAUUGUAUACCCUAUUUUAUACAGUUAAGAGAAUUUAAAUAACUAAAAUUAACAAGUAUAAAUAACUAACCUACAAAGAUAUAAGAGGGGUAUGAUUUUGGUAGUGGCACGACGGUGGUGGCGCGCGGACGACUAGUGGUGGUGCUGCACUUGUGGGACCAACGGCGGACGUGGAGAGACGAAGUGAGGGAGGUCUGAUUUUGGGUGAAGAGGGAGUGAUGAGUUGAUUUUGGGUAGGAUUUGGGAAGGGUUAGAAACUAUGGAAAAGAGGAUGAGAGAAAGAGAAAAGAGAGAAAUGGGAAAGAAACCCGUCUGUGGCAGGCUUUUAUUAAAAGAUUC
RNAcentral lists this long non-coding RNA (549 nucleotides) under Nicotiana benthamiana. RNAcentral's name for it is "long non-coding RNA (NBEN_LNC016614)". Lineage: Eukaryota; Viridiplantae; Streptophyta; Magnoliopsida; Solanales; Solanaceae. The record is from RNAcentral.